Molecule: ribosomal RNA, 388 nt
Filed under: Crustomastigaceae sp.
Lineage: Eukaryota; Viridiplantae; Chlorophyta; Mamiellophyceae; Dolichomastigales; Crustomastigaceae
Description: partial small subunit ribosomal RNA
Rfam family: Eukaryotic small subunit ribosomal RNA
Source: RNAcentral
AUUCCAGCUCCAAUAGCGUAUAUUUAAGUUGUUGCAGUUAAAAAGCUCGUAGUUGGAUUUCGGGUGUCAUCUGCCGGUCCGCCGUUUCGGUGUGCACUGGCGGGCGUCAUCUUUCUGUCGAGGACGCGCUCCUGUCCUUCACUGGUCGGGACGCGGAGUCGGCGAGGUUACUUUGAAAAAAUUAGAGUGUUCAAAGCGGGCUUACGCUUGAAUAUAUUAGCAUGGAAUAACACUAUAGGACUCCUGUCCUAUUUUGUUGGUCUUCGGGACGGGAGUAAUGAUUAAGAGGAACAGUUGGGGGCAUUCGUAUUUCAUUGUCAGAGGUGAAAUUCUUGGAUUUAUGAAAGACGAACUUCUGCGAAAGCAUUUGCCAAGGAUGUUUUCAUCA